Long non-coding RNA from Solanum stenotomum, 332 nucleotides. RefSeq lists it as uncharacterized. The record is from RefSeq and is a predicted model, not a curated record. The transcript has 2 exons. Lineage: Eukaryota; Viridiplantae; Streptophyta; Magnoliopsida; Solanales; Solanaceae.
CCAGGAACUAUAUAUCUUACCUAUAGAGUACAAACUUGUCACUAUAUUGUUACAAAAUGUUAAAACCUCCAAGCAAACUAUUACUGAAUACAAUGAAGAAUUCAAGUUGGAAAUAGAAAGAAAGUAACUCGGAAGAACAGAAGUCACCCAACACAAUCGAGUUAAAGGCAAAUCAGAAGAGAUUUUGCAUCACCAUAAUUUACAGAAGAAAAAAUCAGACAAUGAGCGAAAAAUGCAUAAUUCUACCUUUUUGUUUGUUUGCAAAAGAGAAUCUUGAAGAGUAUUGAUUUGAGUGAACACAUAAUGAAUGUGGUGUUUUUCCAUAGAAAUAA